CCUUGUACACACCGCCCGUCACACCAUGGGAGUUGGUUUUACCCGAAGACGGUGCGCUAACCUCGCAAGAGGGGGCAGCCGGCCACGGUAGGGUCAGCGACUGGGGUG
RNAcentral lists this ribosomal RNA (108 nucleotides) under uncultured bacterium. Its description in RNAcentral is "partial 16S ribosomal RNA". It matches the Rfam family "Bacterial small subunit ribosomal RNA", at positions 1379 to 1482 of the family's 1533-position model. The record is from RNAcentral.